This is a long non-coding RNA of Aquila chrysaetos chrysaetos, 1403 nucleotides long. RefSeq lists it as uncharacterized. Lineage: Eukaryota; Metazoa; Chordata; Aves; Accipitriformes; Accipitridae. The transcript is spliced from 5 exons. The record is from RefSeq and is a predicted model, not a curated record.
GGAGGGGCCCCGGGGGCUCGUCGGUGACCGGAGCUCGCUCCGUCUGCCCCGGGGGCGGCUGUCCCUCCUGCCCCACGCCGUGAGGGCGAGCCUGGUCGGCGGGCACACAGGCUAACGUACCCCUCGGCCGGCCCCGGGGCGCGGUCGGCGAGCGGCCCGGGAGGAGGAAGGGGUUCAGCCGGGCAGCCGCCGCCCUACCGCAGCCCCGGGGGAUGCCGGUGAGGCUUCGGCGUUCCCAGCCCCUGUCCCUACAGAAGCGCCCACCCCCCCCCGCAGCGAGCUCGCCGGCUCGCAGCCCGGCAGGCCCGGGAACAGCGGGGUCUUCUGAGGGGAAUGGGGAGGGGGGGGGCUCGGCAGCGCCGCGGUGCGCCCGCGCUUCGCGGCCGUGUAGACGUGACGCGCCGCCACGCUCCCGGCCAGAUGUGCCCCGCGAAGGGCUCCCGCUCCCGACUCCCGGCUCCCGCCCGCCUUCCUGCGCUGCCCGCCGCUGCCGAGGGCCGGUUCGGCGGCUGCCCCUUCCCCUCCCACCCCCUUCCCAGCGCUGCUCGGCGGCUGAGGGAAGCCCUGUUUCCGCCCGAGCGAGCGCGGCGGGCAGGGGAUCAGCCGGCGGCCGUCCCCUUUGAGCUGAGGAGCGGCGUGCCGCACGCUCCCCGCAUGCAGGGCCACACGUAGGCGGCCGGCCGGGGCGAGCCGGGCGGGCGGGCGGGGAGGGGGCCGCGGCUGCCGAGCCGCACGUAGGGUGGGUGGGCGCGGCCUCGCCGGCGGCGCGGAGCCGGGCGGCGGGGGCUUCCCCUGCCCCGCUCUCCCCCGCGCACGUAGGGGCGAGCGGCUCGUAGCGAGGCAGCCGGGGAGAGGAGCGCCGGCGUCGGAGAGCCCCCGCGGCCCGGGGGAGAACCUUUCAGAGUCGAUUACUAGCUAGGCCAUUCUGGGCAAAGAAAAUGCAAACCGACCCUAUCAGGAGAGCUGCAAGCAGCUUGCUGUGCAUGGAGGAAGGAAAUAAAGCACCUAGGAUAAGGAGCAGUGGAAGAGCGAGUUUGCCGAGGUGUGCUAAGGAGCGAGGACCAAAUCAUGGCAGACGGUGGAAGCUUAGAACACAUUUCUUCACAUUUAAUUUCCCCGUGACAACAGAUGUUCCUGCUCUAGUCAUGGAUAUCUUGGUCUGAGAAGCUUGAGACUCCUGACAUACAGACAGGCCUAAAGUACCUUUUAUCUUGGUGGAAAACUAAGGGUGGAGGUGAAAAAACAUCUGGAUUCUCUUUGUCCUCUUUCUUGGACCACAGAUUUCACUGACAAAGCAGAGUCCCAGAAACAGCCUUAUAAACUCCACGCAUUAUAGUUCAAGGAUAGGGAGGAACAAAGGUCUACAGUUGCUUUCACAAUGUGCAGAGGAGGAAGCAAGCACC